GAUGAACGCUGGCGGCGUGCCUAAUACAUGCAAGUCGAGCGAACGGACGAGAAGCUUGCUUCUCUGAUGUUAGCGGCGGACGGGUGAGUCACACGUGGAUAACCUACCUAUAAGACUGGGAUAACUUCGGGAAACCGGAGCUAAUACCGGAUAAUAUUUUGAACCGCAUGGUUCAAAAGUGAAAGACGGUCUUGCUGUCACUUAUAGAUGGAUCCGCGCUGCAUUAGCUAGUUGGUAAGGUAACGGCUUACCAAGGCAACGAUGCAUAGCCGACCUGAGAGGGUGAUCGGCCACACUGGAACUGAGACACGGUCCAGACUCCUACGGGAGGCAGCAGUAGGGAAUCUUCCGCAAUGGGCGAAAGCCUGACGGAGCAACGCCGCGUGAGUGAUGAAGGUCUUCGGAUCGUAAAACUCUGUUAUUAGGGAAGAACAUAUGUGUAAGUAACUGUGCACAUCUUGACGGUACCUAAUCAGAAAGCCACGGCUAACUACGUG
RNAcentral lists this ribosomal RNA (497 nucleotides) under uncultured bacterium. RNAcentral describes it as "partial 16S ribosomal RNA". It matches the Rfam family "Bacterial small subunit ribosomal RNA", at positions 28 to 507 of the family's 1533-position model. The record is from RNAcentral.